Molecule: ribosomal RNA, 465 nt
Filed under: Vreelandella stevensii
Lineage: Bacteria; Pseudomonadati; Pseudomonadota; Gammaproteobacteria; Oceanospirillales; Halomonadaceae
Description: partial 16S ribosomal RNA
Rfam family: Bacterial small subunit ribosomal RNA
Source: RNAcentral
CCUACGGGGGGCAGCAGUGGGGAAUAUUGGACAAUGGGGGGAACCCUGAUCCAGCCAUGCCGCGUGUGUGAAGAAGGCCCUCGGGUUGUAAAGCACUUUCAGUGAGGAAGAACGCCUGGUGGUUAAUACCCAUCAGGAAAGACAUCACUCACAGAAGAAGCACCGGCUAACUCCGUGCCAGCAGCCGCGGUAAUACGGAGGAUGCGAGCGUUAAUCGGAAUUACUGGGCGUAAAGCGCGCGUAGGUGGCUUGAUAAGCCGGUUGUGAAAGCCCCGGGCUCAACCUGGGAACGGCAUCCGGAACUGUCAAGCUAGAGUGCAGGAGAGGAAGGUAGAAUUCCCGGUGUAGCGGUGAAAUGCGUAGAGAUCGGGAGGAAUACCAGUGGCGAAGGCGGCCUUCUGGACUGACACUGACACUGAGGUGCGAAAGCGUGGGUAGCAAACAGGAUUAGAUACCCUAGUAGUC